RNAcentral lists this ribosomal RNA (402 nucleotides) under uncultured bacterium. RNAcentral describes it as "bacterial SSU rRNA". It matches the Rfam family "Bacterial small subunit ribosomal RNA", at positions 30 to 431 of the family's 1533-position model. The record is from RNAcentral.
AUUGAACGCUGGCGGCAUGCUUUACACAUGCAAGUCGAACGGCAGCACGGGUGCUUGCACCUGGUGGCGAGUGGCGGACGGGUGAGUAAUACAUCGGAACGUAUCCUGAAGUGGGGGAUAACGCAUCGAAAGAUGUGCUAAUACCGCAUAUACUCUGAGGAGGAAAGUAGGGGAUCGAAAGACCUUAUGCUUUUGGAGCGGCCGAUGUCUGAUUAGCUAGUUGGUAAGGUAAUGGCUUACCAAGGCAACGAUCAGUAGUUGGUCUGAGAGGACGACCAGCCACACUGGGACUGAGACACGGCCCAGACUCCUACGGGAGGCAGCAGUGGGGAAUUUUGGACAAUGGGCGCAAGCCUGAUCCAGCAAUGCCGCGUGAGUGAAGAAGGCCUCGGUUGGUAAAGG